GACGUAGGGCGCGAGCGUUGUCCGGAUUUAUUGGGCGUAAAGAGCUCGUAGGCGGCUUGUUGCGUCGACUGUGAAACCCGCGGCUUAACUGCGGGCUUGCAGUUGAUACGGGCAGGCUAGAGUUCGGUAGGGGAGACUGGAAUUCCUGGUGUAGCGGUGAAAUGCGCAGAUAUCAGGAGGAACACCGGUGGCGAAGGCGGGUCUCUGGGCCGAUACUGACGCUGAGGAGCGAAAGCGUGGGGAGCGAACAGG
RNAcentral lists this ribosomal RNA (252 nucleotides) under uncultured bacterium. RNAcentral's name for it is "partial 16S ribosomal RNA". It matches the Rfam family "Bacterial small subunit ribosomal RNA", at positions 524 to 776 of the family's 1533-position model. The record is from RNAcentral.